GCGCUGUUAGUUUAAUGGUAAAACGCAGGGGAAUAAUACUGUCUUGCAAAAGACAGUAACAGCAGUUUUCCUCCAAUCGGGUUUCUGAAAAGCAGGUUCGAUUCCUGCACAGCGCA
This 116-nucleotide transfer RNA is filed under the name Ruminococcus sp. RNAcentral's name for it is "tRNA-OTHER". It matches the Rfam family "tRNA". Rfam says of the family: Transfer RNA (tRNA) molecules are approximately 80 nucleotides in length. Lineage: Bacteria; Bacillati; Bacillota; Clostridia; Eubacteriales; Oscillospiraceae. The record is from RNAcentral. RNAcentral also lists the same sequence under 1 other name.